CAAUAGCGUAUAUUAAAGUUGUUGCAGUUAAAAAGCUCGUAGUUGGAUUUGUGGUGUGUGCCUUGGCGUUGGGAUUAGUUUCCUUUUCUGCCUCGGCCGUGCCAUCCUUGGGUGGAAUCUGUGUGGCAUUAGGUUGUCGUGCAGGGGAUGCCCAUCGUUUACUGUGAAAAAAUUAGAGUGUUCAAAGCAGGCUUAUGCCGUUGAAUAUAUUAGCAUGGAAUAAUAAGAUAGGUCUUUGGUCCUAUUUUGUUGGUUUGCGGGCCGGAGAAAUGAUUAACAGGGACAGUUGGGGGUAUUCGUAUUCCAUUGUCAGAGGUGAAAUUCUUGGAUUUCUGGAAGACGAACUACUGCGAAAGCAUUUACCAAGGAUGUUUUCAUUAA
This 381-nucleotide ribosomal RNA is filed under the name uncultured eukaryote. Its description in RNAcentral is "partial 18S ribosomal RNA". It matches the Rfam family "Eukaryotic small subunit ribosomal RNA", at positions 592 to 976 of the family's 1831-position model. The record is from RNAcentral.